UUGUGGAGGAGGACGCCGAAGGUGGGGCUAAUGACUGGGGUGAAGUCGUAACAAGGUAGCCGUACCGGAAGGUGCGGCUGGAUCACCUCCUAACAGGGAGACAACAAAAUGUUUAAUAUUAUUAUUUUGUCACCUUAGGUCGAUCGGUAUCUCACGUUUUUAAUAUAUUAAGAAUUUCAUUUCCUAAGUUUUUCUAGGUCACACCCAUUUUUUCCUGGGCCAUUAGCUCAGGUGGUUAGAGCGCACCCCUGAUAAGGGUGAGGUCCCUGGUUCAAGUCCAGGAUGGCCCAUAUCUCUAUGUUGGGGGUAUAGCUCAGUUGGUAGAGCGCCUGCUUUGCAAGCAGGAUGUCAGCGGUUCGAGUCCGCUUACCUCCACUGAUUACCACCUCUUCCAUAAUCUUGAGAAAGGAAAAAUUGUUGAGUUGUGAUCAUUUAUCUGAACGAAUCUAGCUUCCUAAUGAAACCAUUAAGAUGCUGGACUCAUUGAAUUAAUUUCAUUGUUUUCAGAGAACCUUGACAACUGCAUAGAUUAUUUUUAAAGACAAUAAGCAUCUUUUAUGAUGCAGAUUUAUUAUUUGUGCGAAUGCAUUAAUAACAAUUCUAUUAAGCUGAUGCUUCAAUUUUGAAGUUAUUGGUCAAGCUACAA
RNAcentral lists this unclassified non-coding RNA (646 nucleotides) under uncultured Prochlorococcus sp. RNAcentral's name for it is "partial 16S-23S ribosomal RNA intergenic spacer; may also contain 16S ribosomal RNA and 23S ribosomal RNA". The stretch from base 303 to 375 matches the Rfam family "tRNA". The record is from RNAcentral. Lineage: Bacteria; Bacillati; Cyanobacteriota; Cyanophyceae; Synechococcales; Prochlorococcaceae.